Molecule: ribosomal RNA, 2923 nt
Filed under: Klebsiella pneumoniae
Lineage: Bacteria; Pseudomonadati; Pseudomonadota; Gammaproteobacteria; Enterobacterales; Enterobacteriaceae
Description: bacterial LSU rRNA
Rfam family: Bacterial large subunit ribosomal RNA
Source: RNAcentral
GGGUUGUGAGGUUAAGCGACUAAGCGUACACGGUGGAUGCCCUGGCAGUCAGAGGCGAUGAAGGACGUGCUAAUCUGCGAAAAGCGUCGGUAAGGUGAUAUGAACCGUUAUAACCGGCGAUGUCCGAAUGGGGAAACCCAGUGCAAUUCGUUGCACUAUCGUUAACUGAAUACAUAGGUUAACGAGGCGAACCGGGGGAACUGAAACAUCUAAGUACCCCGAGGAAAAGAAAUCAACCGAGAUUCCCCCAGUAGCGGCGAGCGAACGGGGAGCAGCCCAGAGUCUGAAUCAGCUUGUGUGUUAGUGGAACGGUCUGGAAAGUCCGACGGUACAGGGUGAUAGUCCCGUACACCAAAAUGCACAGGCUGUGAACUCGAAGAGUAGGGCGGGACACGUGGUAUCCUGUCUGAAUAUGGGGGGACCAUCCUCCAAGGCUAAAUACUCCUGACUGACCGAUAGUGAACCAGUACCGUGAGGGAAAGGCGAAAAGAACCCCGGCGAGGGGAGUGAAAAAGAACCUGAAACCGUGUACGUACAAGCAGUGGGAGCACCUUCGGGUGUGACUGCGUACCUUUUGUAUAAUGGGUCAGCGACUUAUAUUCUGUAGCAAGGUUAACCGUAUAGGGGAGCCGCAGGGAAACCGAGUCUUAACUGGGCGUUAAGUUGCAGGGUAUAGACCCGAAACCCGGUGAUCUAGCCAUGGGCAGGUUGAAGGUUGGGUAACACUAACUGGAGGACCGAACCGACUAAUGUUGAAAAAUUAGCGGAUGACUUGUGGCUGGGGGUGAAAGGCCAAUCAAACCGGGAGAUAGCUGGUUCUCCCCGAAAGCUAUUUAGGUAGCGCCUCGUGAACUCAUCUUCGGGGGUAGAGCACUGUUUCGGCUAGGGGGUCAUCCCGACUUACCAACCCGAUGCAAACUACGAAUACCGAAGAAUGUUAUCACGGGAGACACACGGCGGGUGCUAACGUCCGUCGUGAAGAGGGAAACAACCCAGACCGCCAGCUAAGGUCCCAAAGUCAUGGUUAAGUGGGAAACGAUGUGGGAAGGCACAGACAGCCAGGAUGUUGGCUUAGAAGCAGCCAUCAUUUAAAGAAAGCGUAAUAGCUCACUGGUCGAGUCGGCCUGCGCGGAAGAUGUAACGGGGCUAAACCAUGCACCGAAGCUGCGGCAGCGACACUAUGUGUUGUUGGGUAGGGGAGCGUUCUGUAAGCCUGCGAAGGUGACCUGUGAAGGUUGCUGGAGGUAUCAGAAGUGCGAAUGCUGACAUAAGUAACGAUAAAGCGGGUGAAAAGCCCGCUCGCCGGAAGACCAAGGGUUCCUGUCCAACGUUAAUCGGGGCAGGGUGAGUCGACCCCUAAGGCGAGGCCGAAAGGCGUAGUCGAUGGGAAACAGGUUAAUAUUCCUGUACUUGGUGUUACUGCGAAGGGGGGACGGAGAAGGCUAUGUUAGCCGGGCGACGGUUGUCCCGGUUUAAGCAUGUAGGCUGAUUAUCCAGGCAAAUCCGGAUAAUCAAGGCUGAGGUGUGAUGACGAGGCACUACGGUGCUGAAGUAACAAAUGCCCUGCUUCCAGGAAAAGCCUCUAAGCAUCAGGUAACAUCAAAUCGUACCCCAAACCGACACAGGUGGUCAGGUAGAGAAUACCAAGGCGCUUGAGAGAACUCGGGUGAAGGAACUAGGCAAAAUGGUGCCGUAACUUCGGGAGAAGGCACGCUGGUGUGUAGGUGAAGCCCCUGCGGGUGGAGCUGAGACCAGUCGAAGAUACCAGCUGGCUGCAACUGUUUAUUAAAAACACAGCACUGUGCAAACACGAAAGUGGACGUAUACGGUGUGACGCCUGCCCGGUGCCGGAAGGUUAAUUGAUGGGGUUAUCCGUAAGGAGAAGCUCUUGAUCGAAGCCCCGGUAAACGGCGGCCGUAACUAUAACGGUCCUAAGGUAGCGAAAUUCCUUGUCGGGUAAGUUCCGACCUGCACGAAUGGCGUAAUGAUGGCCAGGCUGUCUCCACCCGAGACUCAGUGAAAUUGAACUCGCUGUGAAGAUGCAGUGUACCCGCGGCAAGACGGAAAGACCCCGUGAACCUUUACUAUAGCUUGACACUGAACAUUGAGCCUUGAUGUGUAGGAUAGGUGGGAGGCUUUGAAGCGUGGACGCCAGUCUGCGUGGAGCCAACCUUGAAAUACCACCCUUUAAUGUUUGAUGUUCUAACGUUGGCCCCUGACCGGGGUUGCGGACAGUGUCUGGUGGGUAGUUUGACUGGGGCGGUCUCCUCCCAAAGCGUAACGGAGGAGCACGAAGGUUAGCUAAUCCUGGUCGGACAUCAGGAGGUUAGUGCAAUGGCAUAAGCUAGCUUGACUGCGAGCGUGACGGCGCGAGCAGGUGCGAAAGCAGGUCAUAGUGAUCCGGUGGUUCUGAAUGGAAGGGCCAUCGCUCAACGGAUAAAAGGUACUCCGGGGAUAACAGGCUGAUACCGCCCAAGAGUUCAUAUCGACGGCGGUGUUUGGCACCUCGAUGUCGGCUCAUCACAUCCUGGGGCUGAAGUAGGUCCCAAGGGUAUGGCUGUUCGCCAUUUAAAGUGGUACGCGAGCUGGGUUUAGAACGUCGUGAGACAGUUCGGUCCCUAUCUGCCGUGGGCGCUGGAGAAUUGAGGGGGGCUGCUCCUAGUACGAGAGGACCGGAGUGGACGCAUCACUGGUGUUCGGGUUGUCAUGCCAAUGGCACUGCCCGGUAGCUAAAUGCGGAAGAGAUAAGUGCUGAAAGCAUCUAAGCACGAAACUUGCCCCGAGAUGAGUUCUCCCUGAGACUUUAAGUCUCCUGAAGGAACGUUAAAGACGAUGACGUUGAUAGGCCGGGUGUGUAAGCGCAGCGAUGCGUUGAGCUAACCGGUACUAAUGAACCGUGAGGCUUAACCUUACAACGCCGAAG